GAAGCUGGAUUCCGUAGUAAUCGCGGAUCAACAUUCCGCGGUGAAUAUGCCCCUGCUCCUUGCACACACCGCCCGUCAAGCCACCCGAGUUGGGUUUCAGUAAGGACACCUCUUUUUGGGGUGCUCGAACUGAGAUUCGGCAAGGAGGGCUAAGUCGUAACAAGGUAUCUGUAGGGGAACCUGCAGAUGGAUCACCUCCU
RNAcentral lists this ribosomal RNA (200 nucleotides) under Methanomassiliicoccales archaeon. RNAcentral describes it as "partial 16S ribosomal RNA". It matches the Rfam family "Archaeal small subunit ribosomal RNA", at positions 1278 to 1478 of the family's 1478-position model. The record is from RNAcentral. Lineage: Archaea; Methanobacteriati; Thermoplasmatota; Thermoplasmata; Methanomassiliicoccales.